AAGCAACGGCUAACUACGUGCCAGCAGCCGCGGUAAUACGUAGGUUGCAAGCGUUGUCCGGAUUUACUGGGUGUAAAGGGCGUGUAGGCGGAGGUGCAAGUUGGGAGUGAAAUCCCGGGGCUCAACCCGGAACUGCUUUCAAAACUGCAUCCCUUGAGUGUCGGAGAGGCAAGCGGAAUUCCUAGUGUAGCGGUGAAAUGCGUAGAUAUUAGGAGGAACACCAGUGGCGAAGGCGGCUUGCUGGACGAUAACUGACGCUGAGGCGCGAAAGCGUGGGGAGCAAACAGGAUUAGAUACCCUGGUAGUCCACGCUGUAAACGAUGAAUACUAGGUGUGGGAGGACUGACCCCUUCCGUGCCGCAGUUAACACAAUAAGUAUUCCACCUGGGGAGUACGACCGCAAGGUUGAAACUCAAAGGAAUUGACGGGGGCCCGCACAAGCAGUGGAUUAUGUGGUUUAAUUCGACGCAACGCGAAGAACCUUACCAGGACUUGACAUCCAACUAACGAAGUAGAGAUACAUUAGGUGCCCUUCGGGGAAAGUUGAGACAGGUGGUGCAUGGUUGUCGUCAGCUCGUGUCGUGAGAUGUUGGGUUAAGUCCCGCAACGAGCGCAACCCCUAUUGUUAGUUGCUACGCAAGAGCACUCUAGCGAGACUGCCGCUGACAAAACGGAGGAAGGCGGGGACGACGUCAAAUCAUCAUGCCCCUUAUGUCCUGGGCUACACACGUAAUACAAUGGUCGUUAACAAAGGGAAGCAAUACCGCGAGGUGGAGCAAAUCCCCAAAAACGAUCUCAGUUCGGAUUGCA
This 810-nucleotide ribosomal RNA is filed under the name uncultured bacterium. RNAcentral's name for it is "bacterial SSU rRNA". It matches the Rfam family "Bacterial small subunit ribosomal RNA", at positions 488 to 1302 of the family's 1533-position model. The record is from RNAcentral.